ACGCUGGCGGCACGCCUAACACAUGCAAGUCGAACGAAGUAGUAAUACUUAGUGGCAGACGGGUGAGUAACAUGUAGGUAUCUACCCUAUGGCCUGGAAUAACACGAGGAAACUUGUGCUAAUACUGGAUAAGUCUUCACGGAGAAAGCUUUAUGCACCAUUGGAUGAGCCUGCACUUGAUUAGUUUGUUGGUAGGGUAAUGGCCUACCAAGACUGUGAUCAAUAGCUGAUUUGAGAGGAUGAUCAGCCACAUUGGGACUGAGACACGGCCCAAACUCCUACGGGAGGCAGCAGUGGGGAAUCUUGCACAAUGGAGGAAACUCUGAUGCAGCGAUGCCGCGUGAGUGAAGAAGGCCCUUGGGUUGUAAAGCUCUUUCGUCGGGGAAGAAAAUGACUGUACCCGAAUAAGAAGGUCCGGCUAACUUCGUGCCAGCAGCCGCGGUAAUACGAAGGGACCUAGCGUAGUUCGGAAUUACUGGGCUUAAAGAGUUCGUAGGUGGUUGAAAAAGUUGGUGGUGAAAUCCCAGAGCUUAACUCUGGAACUGCCAUCAAAACUUUUCAGCUAGAGUAUGAUAGAGGAAAGCAGAAUUUCUAGUGUAGAGGUGAAAUUCGUAGAUAUUAGAAAGAAUACCAAUUGCGAAGGCAGCUUUCUGGAUCAUUACUGACACUGAGGAACGAAAGCAUGGGUAGCGAAGAGGAUUAGAUACCCUCGUAGUCCAUGCCGUAAACGAUGUGUGUUAGACGUUGGAAAUUUAUUUUCAGUGUCGCAGUGAAAGCGAUAAACACACCGCCUGGGGAGUACG
Molecule: ribosomal RNA, 803 nt
Filed under: uncultured Pelagibacteraceae bacterium
Lineage: Bacteria; Pseudomonadati; Pseudomonadota; Alphaproteobacteria; Candidatus Pelagibacterales; Candidatus Pelagibacteraceae
Description: bacterial SSU rRNA
Rfam family: Bacterial small subunit ribosomal RNA
Source: RNAcentral